AGGCACAAAGAAGAAAUUCUUCAUCAGUGUCUCAGAGGUGAAUCCAGCAUCUUGCAUCUCACACCUGGAAAACACACAGAUAGAUGCUCAGUGCAACAAAGAGAAGGUGAAAGCUAAAUGACCAGUCUACUCACUUGACGCCAACUAUUUGGACAUUCAGCUCCUUUGCACAUUCCAUUAGAUGACGACAGUUCUUCAGGGUGGUGCCAAACUUCAUGUUCAUCUCUUCAUCUCCAUUAAUGUCUUCUGUGGCAAUAUGAAGCAAGAGCCUAAGAGAAGGGGAAGAUGAUUGGGGCACAGUUGGUUUACACCAGCAUCAGCACAUGUGAAGCCUGAAGACUGUCAGAAGUAUGUUGAUUAUGUUGCCAUUACUCCAGUGCCAUCGAUGGACGAGCCAAGUGAACCUAAUAAAAACAAUCCUGUACAGAGAGAAAACUAGCAAUUAGGGCCUAAAACAUGGAGUCAAAAAGAAAGGGGGGUUGGAAAUGCAGCAGCUAAAGACUCUGUUGUAGCAGAAAGUCUGUUGAAUGCUGUAACAAAAAUACAUUACCUUACAUGUAGUCAUGGACAUCCUAAGUUCCUCUGACACUCAACUUUCUGAAUAUGGCUAGUUUAGAGAUAUUGGUUUUUU
Sceloporus undulatus (fence lizard) is the source of this 631-nucleotide long non-coding RNA. RefSeq lists it as uncharacterized. Lineage: Eukaryota; Metazoa; Chordata; Lepidosauria; Squamata; Phrynosomatidae. The transcript has 2 exons. The record is from RefSeq and is a predicted model, not a curated record.